CUUAUGUCCCGUCGAGGCCGGUUAGCCAGGUCUGAACUUGAUUGUGCUGAAGCAUCGUUGUUCCCUGUGACUUGCAUUGCCAUAAGAAACCAGAACUUCUCGACCCCCACGCCGCCGCCAACCUCGAUCACCCACAACGCCACAACAUUUGCUGACAUUGUGAGGUUUGGGAGGACUAGGAUGGAUGGGGAAGGUCAACGCAGAGGAGGUUUUAGGGCACCUGGAGUCAUUGGCAGAUCUGGAGGUGGCUUUGGUUUCGGCAAUCGCGUGGAGGGGUUCACCUCGGGAGGCUUUGGGCAGGCGUAUGGUCCAAAUGGUGCGGGGCGAAUUUCUGGCCAACACCUAGGUCCUCAGUUCGGAUUUGGUGCCGUUGGACACAACAACAGGGUGCCGCAAAACUCCCAGCAAACAAUAGUUUUUGGACAUGGACAGCAGCAACCUGCCUCGUUCUCAGUUGGAGGAGCUCAACAUGGUACACAACAGGUUGGUGUUGGGGGACAGAAACAUGAUUAUCAUAAUCAGCGCUACAAGGAUAAUUCUGGGUCUGGUCGACAGGUAGAAAGAGGUUUUUGGCCAAAGCAGCAUGCUAACAGGGGCCGGGCCCCAUUCUCCAAAGGUCCAAGUUUCAACCAUAUUGCAGCUAGUGGUUCUGAAGGUCUUCAAAAGGGGUUGGGCAGACAUUUACAACAUAAUAGUGAUGGAGGUUCAAGUGGCAUUGGGGACAACAUGAUUUUGAUGGAUAAAACUGCCUCUAAACGUUCCUUUCAGGAAGUUGAAGAAAACAGGCCACCCUCUAAAAAGGUUGAAGUAUUAGUUGAGACCAAGAAAGAGGCGAGUAAACCACAAGGGGAAUUGUUUGAAGUGGCAGAAGUGUCAGCAAAAGGGAGGGGUAAGUGGUGUUUUCGAUGCAGGACAAAGGGCCAUGUGUCAGUGGAAUGCACUACAAUCUUGUUUUGCCAAUUGUGUGAAAGUGAUGACCAUGUCGCUGCUAUAUGCCCAAUAAAGAAAAAACCUCGUCUGAUGGCUUACUCGGUGGGUUAUGCGAUGGAUGGUCUGGGCUUCUACCAUAUCCCCCAUGGCCCUAUUUCCAUGUCAAAAAAGGAUAAUACUUUGGCUUUGAUCACAUUUAUGGGAGGCGAGCUUAAGGAAGCUGAACUUGUUGCUCAUAUGGAGAGGUUAAUUCCAGGAAAACACGGUUGGGAUGUUCAGUUGCAUGCCCCAAAUACUUGGGUGGCUAAUUUCCCAUCUAAAGCUGAAUUGAAGCGAACUGUAACAUUUGGGUCUGCUGAUCUUAAGAAUGGAUUACUUCUGAAAUUCGAAGAGUUUGAGGAGGAAGAGUAUUGUGGAGAAGAGCUACCAAGGGUGUGGAUGCGUGUAUUAAACCUCCCAAAAGGGUUAAGAACAUAUGAGGUUCUAUGGGCGAUUGGGACGAUGUUUGGUGCCACAACUAAGGUGGAUAUGAUUACUACAAGGAAAAAUACCUUUGGAAGAUUUGAGGUUGCAGUUCUCAAUGCUAGCAUUGUGCCCAAUCAAAUGGAGGUCGUUAUUGGAACUCGUUGGUUUGAGUUGGUUUUUGAGAUAGAAGGAGAAAUUGGUGAAGCUAUGGAACCAAUUACUCAUAGGGAGAAUGGUAAUGAGGGGGAUCAUGGGAAUGCCGAUAGAAGGGACACCACUAUGGAGGAGAAUAACUCCAAAGCAAAAGACACAAAUGGCAAUUCUUGGGCUGCACCUUCCUUUGCUAGCAACAGAAGGGACGUAGGAAAGGGUGUCCAGAUGGACGAUGGUGCUCUGGAUGAUUUUGAUGAGGAUGACCUGCUCGAGGAUGAGGUGAUGGAACAAUCUCCUGCUGUUUCACCAAAAUAUGCAGUCCUUAGUGCUGUUCUUGAUGCAGGCUUAGGUGAGCAGGCCAAACAGCCAUCUGGACAGCAUGACUGUGAGAUGCAGGAGGGCUGUAAUUCAAAGCCUGGUUUGGUGGAGCAUAGCAAAGUGCCUAGGGACGAUUGCAGCAAAAUGAAAGAAGCUACUGCGACUUUGGGACACCAAUUGAAGUGUGAUGGUCAGCAGUCUGACGCCAGCUUUAGCUCUGAAGUUGCUCUUCCAGUGAUACCCAAGCCGGUAAAAGUCCUCAAUAAAAUUUCUGCAGCCUUGCCAAAAAGGAGAAGCAAGAGGCGGGAAGCAGAAGUAGAUGAGGACAUGCUGGAACGUGCGAAAAGAGUGGUGGCGAAGAAAAAUCUUGAUGGACCGGAAGGUCACUUUCAGAGGGACACAUUGGACAAGGUUCUGGACACUGUUGCAGAAGGAGGAGGACAGACCUCAAGUAAAAUGGGCCUGUCGUGUGCUUGAAACAACAAUGAUGGAGAUCUUUUCAAAUAAUGGAUGGUCUUUUUUUCAUAGAUUGAGAGCAUAGUUUGAGAGCUUAAAUUUAUGAAACCUUUGUAGAAUGUAAGAUUUCGUUCCAAUGUGGAACCCCAUGUUUGUGAGUUUGACAGCCGAAUGUAU
This 2499-nucleotide unclassified non-coding RNA is filed under the name Zea mays. Its description in RNAcentral is "misc RNA Zm00001eb119680". Lineage: Eukaryota; Viridiplantae; Streptophyta; Magnoliopsida; Poales; Poaceae. The record is from RNAcentral.